Molecule: transfer RNA, 89 nt
Filed under: Mesoplasma lactucae ATCC 49193
Lineage: Bacteria; Bacillati; Mycoplasmatota; Mollicutes; Entomoplasmatales; Entomoplasmataceae
Description: tRNA-Leu
Rfam family: tRNA
About the family: Transfer RNA (tRNA) molecules are approximately 80 nucleotides in length.
Source: RNAcentral
CCCCGAGUGGCGGAAUUGGUAGACGCACUGGACUUAAAAUCCAGCGGGCUUAAUCGCCCGUGCCGGUUCAAGUCCGGCCUCGGGGACCA